UUAGAGUUUGAUCCUGGCUCAGAACGAACGCCGGCUGCAGGCCUAACACAUGCAAGUCGAGCGGUACCUUUGGGUGGAGCGGGGGACGGGUUAGUAACGGGGGGGCAUACGCCCUUCUUUACGGAAUAGCCUCGGGGAACUGAGGGUUAUACCGUAUACCCCCUUCGGGGGAAGGAUUUAUCGGAGAAGGAUUAGCCCGCGUAAGAUUAGAUAGGUGGUGGGGUAAUGGCCCACAAGUCUAUGAUCUUUCGCUGGUUUAGAAAAUGAUCAGCA
Molecule: ribosomal RNA, 273 nt
Filed under: uncultured bacterium
Lineage: Bacteria
Description: partial 16S ribosomal RNA
Rfam family: Bacterial small subunit ribosomal RNA
Source: RNAcentral